CAUCAACAGCUGGUUAUUCAUGGAUUUUCAUUCACGUGAGAGAGAGAGAGUUGUUGGAGUUUCUCCUCAGUGUGUUUAAACUUUCAUUUACUCCUUUCAAGAUGCCGUUGACUCGGUAGAGAAUAUGCAUCUCAGGGUCUGAGUGCUGUGGUCAGUGGAAUUGCAGUGUGGACUCCAACAUACUGUUGACUGUCCUGAAACAAGAUGGCUGUUCUGGGCUGCUUUUAAACCUCUACAGGAUCAGUGUCCUGAAACCUGGACAGCUGCUGCUCAGUAUGUGACCUAGAAAGGCUUUCGAAAUAACAGCCAACUUUUCCGGGACAUCGACAUGUCUUCUAU
Molecule: long non-coding RNA, 339 nt
Organism: Oncorhynchus tshawytscha (Chinook salmon)
Lineage: Eukaryota; Metazoa; Chordata; Actinopteri; Salmoniformes; Salmonidae
Source: Ensembl